GACGAACGCUGGCGGCGUGCUUAACACAUGCAAGUCGAACGGAAAGGCCCUGCUUUUGUGGGGUGCUCGAGUGGCGAACGGGUGAGUAACACGUGAGUAACCUGCCCUUGACUUUGGGAUAACUUCAGGAAACUGGGGCUAAUACCGGAUAGGAGCUCCUGCUGCAUGGUGGGGGUUGGAAAGUUUCGGCGGUGGGGGAUGGACUCGCGGCUUAUCAGCUGGUUGGUGGGGUAGUGGCUUACCAAGGCUUCGACGGGUAGCCGGCCUGAGAGCGUGACCGGCGACAUUGGGACUGAGAUACGGCCCAGACUCCUACGGGACGCAGCAGGGGGGAAUAUUACACAAUGGGCGGAAGCCUGUUGCAGCAACGCCGCGUGCGUGAUGACGGCCUUCGGGUUGUAAACCGCUUUCGCCUGUGACGAAGCGUGAGUGACGGUAAUGGGUAAAGAAGCACCGGCUAACUACGUG
Molecule: ribosomal RNA, 468 nt
Filed under: uncultured bacterium
Lineage: Bacteria
Description: partial 16S ribosomal RNA
Rfam family: Bacterial small subunit ribosomal RNA
Source: RNAcentral